Molecule: ribosomal RNA, 491 nt
Filed under: uncultured bacterium
Lineage: Bacteria
Description: partial 16S ribosomal RNA
Rfam family: Bacterial small subunit ribosomal RNA
Source: RNAcentral
GUGCACGCUGGCGGUAGGCCUAACCCCUGCCAGUCGCACGGCAGCACAGUAAGAGCUUGCUCUUACGGGUGGCGAGUGGCGGACGGGUGAGGAAUACAUCGGAAUCUACUUUUUCGUGGGGGAUAACGUAGGGAAACUUACGCUAAUACCGCAUACGACCUACGGGUGAAAGCAGGGGAUCUUCGGACCUUGCGCGAUUGAAUGAGCCGAUGUCGGAUUAGCUAGUUGGCGGGGUAAAGGCCCACCAAGGCGACGAUCCGUAGCUGGUCUGAGAGGAUGAUCAGCCACACUGGAACUGAGACACGGUCCAGACUCCUACGGGAGGCAGCAGUGGGGAAUAUUGGACAAUGGGCGCAAGCCUGAUCCAGCCAUACCGCGUGGGUGAAGAAGGCCUUCGGGUUGUAAAGCCCUUUUGUUGGGAAAGAAAAGCAGCAGGUUAAUACCCCGCUGUUCUGACGGUACCCAAAGAAUAAGCACCGGCUAACUUCGUG